This 468-nucleotide ribosomal RNA is filed under the name uncultured bacterium. RNAcentral's name for it is "partial 16S ribosomal RNA". It matches the Rfam family "Bacterial small subunit ribosomal RNA", at positions 28 to 507 of the family's 1533-position model. The record is from RNAcentral.
GAUGAACGCUGGCGGCGUGCCUAAUACAUGCAAGUCGAACGGAAAGGCCCUGCUCUUGCGCGGCGCUCGUGUGGCGAACGGGGGUGUAUCACGCGAGUAUACCGCCCCUGACAUUGGGAUAACUCUAGGAAACUGCGGCUCAUAUCGGAUAGGAUCUCUUGCUGCACGGUGGGGGUUGGAAAGUUUCGGCGGUUGGGGAUGGACUGGCGGCUUAUCGGCUUGUUGGUGGGGUAGUGGCUUACCAAGGGUUCGACGGGUAGCCGGCCUGGGAGGGUGGCCGGCCACAAGAGGACUGAGGUACGGCGCAGACUCCUACGGGAGGCAGCGGUGGAGAGUAUGGCGCAAUAGGCGGAAGCCUGAUACGACAACGCCGCGUGCGGAAUAACGGCCUUCGAGUUAUGAACAGCUUUCGCCUUUGACAAGGCGUGAGUGACGGUAAUGGGUAAGAAAGCACCGGCUAACUACGUG